Molecule: ribosomal RNA, 494 nt
Filed under: uncultured bacterium
Lineage: Bacteria
Description: bacterial SSU rRNA
Rfam family: Bacterial small subunit ribosomal RNA
Source: RNAcentral
GAUAAACGCUGGCGGCGUACAUAAAACAUGCAAGUCGAACGGACGAAACAUAUUUGUUUACAAAGAUGUUUCGCUAGUGGCGGACUGGUGAGUAAUACGUAAGCAACCUACCUAUAAGAGUGGAAUAACAGUGAGAAAUCAUUGCUAAUACCACAUAAUCUAUACUUGCAGCAUUGCAGGGAUAGCAAAGGAGUAAUCCGCUAAUAGAUGGGCUUACGCCUGAUUAGCUAGUUGGUGUGGUAACGGCACACCAAGGCGACGAUCAGUAGCCGGACUGAGAGGUUGAACGGCCACAUUGGGACUGAGAUACGGCCCAGACUCCUACGGGAGGCAGCAGUUGGGAAUAUUGCGCAAUGGAGGAAACUCUGACGCAGUGACGCCGCGUAUAGGAAGAAGGUUUUCGGAUUGUAAACUAUUGUCGACAGGGAAGAAAAAAAUGACGGUACCUGUGGAGGAAGCCCCGGCUAACUACGUGCCAGCCGCCGCAGUAAAAC